Molecule: long non-coding RNA, 626 nt
Organism: Symphalangus syndactylus (siamang)
Lineage: Eukaryota; Metazoa; Chordata; Mammalia; Primates; Hylobatidae
Source: RefSeq, a predicted model, not a curated record
GAGAAUCUGCUUACCAGCACUCUAUAGGCAAGCAGCAUCUCUACAUAACCUGAAAUAGUAGUCAGUUGAUUCUAUAAACAGCAACUAUAAACACAUAAAUAUAGGAGGUGGGGCAUGGCUGCCUUCAUACAUCACUAAUUUUGGCAAAACCCAGCCUUUGAGAGCUUGGUGAACGCCUUACGGAAAAUGAAAACAUUAAAUUGCUGGCUGGUCGGAAGUGAAUUCUGGGAUGGGAAGAACAAUUGCAGCUCUCAAUUCUUUGGCUUGCAGUAAACAAGGCCACAAAGGGCCUGAGAAUUAUUUUAUUCCUUACAUAGGAAGACAUCUUACUAGCCUUACUGAGGGCUAACCAAGAAAUGAAUGAACCUCAGAGUCUUGAAAAUACUGCCACUAUGAAACUGUGAAAAAGGAGACAGCAAAAUAGACUUGUCGUCCUAUGCAGAACUAAGGUUAAACCAUGACUACUCCUUGAGGCCUUCCCUGGAGAUUCAGGCUCAUAGAGUCCUUCUUUCUCUGAAUUCUAAAGUACUUAUGGAAGAUUCAGCAGAUAAUUUUUAAUGAAUUAAAUUUUAAUACAUCAAAUUACUUAAUAAUAAUAUUUAAUAAAAUUUUCAGUGUUCUCCAGA